CCAUAUUAUAACCCCCUAAAUUUGGCAAAGGCAUUUUUGCGGUAAAAUCAGUCGAUCAACAGUGUAGUCGACGGUUCUAUGCCUUUCCCUCUUGAGUUGUCCGCUCAAGGGUACCUUGUCUAGCACUUCAAAAGUAGAAUUCUUACUCUAUUUAAUUGUUCAUGCAUCAUGGUCAAACAUAACCAAUUCAGUUAUAUUGUCCGCAUAAUGACUCAUUAGGAUAGCCUAAACCAAAGUCCAUCGGGUUUCCUCGAAACCAAAACGGACAUUCACGUUACGUGCAUUGAUUUGGAGAACUAAAUGCCUCUUGCUAAUUAUUGAU
RNAcentral lists this long non-coding RNA (322 nucleotides) under Nicotiana benthamiana. RNAcentral's name for it is "long non-coding RNA (NBEN_LNC002064)". The record is from RNAcentral. Lineage: Eukaryota; Viridiplantae; Streptophyta; Magnoliopsida; Solanales; Solanaceae.